RNAcentral lists this ribosomal RNA (448 nucleotides) under uncultured bacterium. RNAcentral's name for it is "bacterial SSU rRNA". It matches the Rfam family "Bacterial small subunit ribosomal RNA", at positions 328 to 792 of the family's 1533-position model. The record is from RNAcentral.
CUGCCAGACUCCUACGGGAGGCAGCAGUGGGGGAUAUUGCACAAUGGGGGAAACCCUGAUGCAGCGACGCCGCGUGUGGGAAGACGGUCCUCUGGAUUGUAAACCACUGUCCCCAGGGACGAAGAUGACGGUACCUGGGGAGGAAGCUCCGGCUAACUACGUGCCAGCAGCCGCGGUAAUACGUAGGGAGCAAGCGUUGUCCGGAAUUACUGGGUGUAAAGGGAGCGUAGGCGGGAUGGCAAGUCUGAUGUGAAAGCCCGGGGCUCAACCGCGGGACUGCAUUGGAAACUGCGGGACUGGAGUGUCGGAGGGGUAAGCGGAAUUCCUGGUGUAGCGGUGAAAUGCGUAGAUAUCAGGAGGAACACCGGUGGCGAGGGCGGCUUACUGGACGAUGACUGACGCUGAGGCUCGAAAGCGUGGGGAGCAAACAGGAUUAGAUACCCUUGUA